RNAcentral lists this long non-coding RNA (739 nucleotides) under Nicotiana benthamiana. RNAcentral describes it as "long non-coding RNA (NBEN_LNC027591)". Lineage: Eukaryota; Viridiplantae; Streptophyta; Magnoliopsida; Solanales; Solanaceae. The record is from RNAcentral.
AAUUUUUGUCCCUCCAUAUAAGUGCUACAGCAGUCACAAAGGUAGAAGCAGUGAUUGCUUUGUGCCAUAGUUUGCUCCUCGCUUUGCUGCAGAUCCAUUGAAGUUCAUCUUCUCAUUUGCCAACUGUUCUUUUGUACCCCAACCAGCAGCAUAUUCUGGUCCAUAAUCGAUUAGUGAUUUGGCAGUCAAAGAACAAAUGCUCAAAAUUCUCAGCAUGCUGAUUACAGAACACACAGUUAGCAGGCACCUGAAUUCCAUACUUCUGCAAUCUGUCAAUAGUAGGCAGCUUGUGUUGAGCAGCUAGCCAAAUAGUGAAUUUGUGUCUAGGUUGCACAUUAGUAGUCAGCAUCACAUUCUUCCACACUACCUUAUUAUAACUAAGCAGCAUUGCAAGGUAUAGUUUUUGGAUUUGGAACUUGUUCAGCCUGCACAUUAUUUGCAAUCUGUUAAAGAGAUCCCCUUGUAGCUGCUUUUGCAAGGUAUAGUUUUUGGAUCUGGAACUUGUCUAGCCUGCACAUUUAUUGCAAUCUGUUAAAGAGAUCCCCUUGAAGCUACUGGUUCUCCAUAACAUCAAUCCUGCAGUCCAGAAUCUUUCUAACAACCCAAGAAGCAGUCUUAUGCAGAGGCAUAGAACCAACGUCACAUUGUUUGAUGUAGUAACAGUGCAGCCACUUGAUCCAGAGACAAUCUUUUUUCCUGGCCAGGUCCCAAAGGAGUUUGGUGACAUCUGCCUUAUUCC